RNAcentral lists this ribosomal RNA (253 nucleotides) under uncultured bacterium. Its description in RNAcentral is "partial 16S ribosomal RNA". It matches the Rfam family "Bacterial small subunit ribosomal RNA", at positions 524 to 776 of the family's 1533-position model. The record is from RNAcentral.
UACGAAGGGGGCUAGCGUUGCUCGGAAUCACUGGGCGUAAAGCGCACGUAGGCGGAUUGUUAAGUCAGGGGUGAAAUCCUGGAGCUCAACUCCAGAACUGCCUUUGAUACUGGCGAUCUUGAGUCCGGGAGAGGUGAGUGGAACUGCGAGUGUAGAGGUGAAAUUCGUAGAUAUUCGCAAGAACACCAGUGGCGAAGGCGGCUCACUGGCUCGGUACUGACGCUGAGGUGCGAAAGCGUGGGGAGCGAACAGG